Molecule: long non-coding RNA, 761 nt
Organism: Centropristis striata (black sea bass)
Lineage: Eukaryota; Metazoa; Chordata; Actinopteri; Perciformes; Serranidae
Exons: 2
Source: RefSeq, a predicted model, not a curated record
AGUGAGUGGGGGUUGAAGCUCCAGCUGCGAAGCCAGGUGAGUCACCUGUCGUCAUGUUUUGCAAGGAUUGCAAAGAAAAAUACAGAACGAACAAUGAUGAAGAGGUAAACAAACUCAUCAGUCACUUCCGACCUCUUCUGCUGUCUGCUGGAGUGGAUGUGGAGUUGAUCCCUGAUCAAUGGACAGUUCUCAAGACUGAACUCUACACAGCAGGAUUCAGUCAAGAAACCUUCGAGAAGACCUGGACUACUGUCAACAAAAUGCUUCGCCAUUGGUGUCCUGACAUGCUCGAUCUAAUUGAUGCUCUCCUCACCAUUCCUGCAACCACAGCUGACUGUGAAAGAGGCUUCAGUGUUAUGAAGCAGGUAAAAAAGUGACUGGCGCUCAUGCCUGAAAGGUGAGACCCUCUCUGACCUCCUAAAGACACAGUUGUGCUCACCCGACAUCAAAGACUUUGAUCCUACAAAAGCCAUUGACAUCUGGCAUGCUGACAGUUUGCGCUCUUGCAGGCCUGAGUUUGUGUGCAAACACGGAACAAAAGGAACUGAGGGUGGCUCGGAAUCAGAUGGAGAAAGUUCAGAGAGCUCUGCAGACAUUUAAUUCAGAAGAACGAUAAAGAUAGAUAGACGAAACUUGGAAAUUGAAUGAAUAAGAAAGGAAAUGUUUGAACUAUGUAUAUUGUUUUAUGUAUUGUACUUUCCGUACAUUGUACUUUCUGUGCAUGUGUAAUGCCAACAAUGUCAAUAAAUUGAUGAAAUGCA